GAGUGCUCCACAAAGCAUUUGGUAAUUAUUAUUUUUAAUUACGAAUUAUUAUUAGCCUAAUUUCCUAAUAAAAUACGUCUAAAUGUCUUUUUUUUUUAAUAAGUAAAAUUUUAUUAAUAAAUUCAGGAAAAACUUGUCAAACAACAUUCCAAAUUAAUCCGAUUCUGAUACAUUCGAUCCAUUAAAAAACCGAGAUACAAAGUGAAAAAACUGGAACAGGAUACAAAAUAAAAUACAAGUGACCAGUGGCUCUACAGCGAGCAUGUCAAAACACAAACCAGUACAUAUUUCUUGGGUAAAAUCAAAGAUUUCUUUUGAAUUUUUGGAUUUUUUUUUUAUACUUUGGUGAAUUUUUAUGCAGGGAAGAGGAAUAUUAAUUGGAUAAAAAAAAUUUUAGGACAAAUUAAUUUAUACUUGUGAAAUUUAUAUAUAACUCCAAUGGAACAUUUAGCAUCCUCUCCUAAAAUUGAAUUACUGAAAAGAACUUUGAGAAUAGGUCCUUUGAGGAUCUAACCGCAUAAAAUGUAACUGAUGAAACAGGUAUGGCCCAGACCGCCCAAAGU
RNAcentral lists this unclassified non-coding RNA (563 nucleotides) under Hevea brasiliensis (rubber tree). The record is from RNAcentral. Lineage: Eukaryota; Viridiplantae; Streptophyta; Magnoliopsida; Malpighiales; Euphorbiaceae.